RNAcentral lists this ribosomal RNA (710 nucleotides) under uncultured Tylospora. RNAcentral's name for it is "eukaryotic LSU rRNA". The stretch from base 193 to 347 matches the Rfam family "5.8S ribosomal RNA". Lineage: Eukaryota; Fungi; Basidiomycota; Agaricomycetes; Atheliales; Atheliaceae. The record is from RNAcentral.
UCAUUAUCGAAUCGUAGGCGAGGGUUGUCGCUGGCCUCUCGGGGCAUGUGCACGCCCGAGCCCUUGAAUCCCAAACACCACAUGUGAACCCACCGUAGGCCUUCGGGCCUAUGUCUUAUCAUAUAAUCCGAAUGUCUAAUAGAAUGUAAACCCAUUUCGUUGCCUUGAAAACGUAACGAAAGAAAACUAUACAACUUUCAACAACGGAUCUCUUGGCUCUCGCAUCGAUGAAGAACGCAGCGAAAUGCGAUAAGUAAUGUGAAUUGCAGAUUUUCAGUGAAUCAUCGAAUCUUUGAACGCACCUUGCGCCCCUUGGUAUUCCGAGGGGCAUGCCUGUUUGAGUGUCAUUAAAUCCUCAACCCCUCCGAUUCGUUUCGGUGGGGAUUGGACUUGGAGCGUGCUGGCGAAGGUCGGCUCCUCUUUAAAUGCAUCAGCGGAGAAAAUGCCUUUUGCGCCUCUGGCCGUUCAGCGUGAUAAUGACGUUGCGCUGCGGUCGAGCUUAAGGUCCGCUUCCAAAGGUCCUCUCGGACGAUAUAUACAUAUGACUUUUGACCUCAAAUCAGGUAGGACUACCCGCUGAACUUAAGCAUAUCAAUAAGCGGAGGAAAAGAAACUAACAAGGAUUCCCCUAGUAACUGCGAGUGAAGCGGGAAAAGCUCAAAUUUAAAAUCUGGCGGUCUCCGGCCGUCCGAGUUGUAAUCUGGAGAAGC